UAAACUCACUGUUUCAUUUAUUUCUCUUGUUAUGGGCUUUGAUUUACCUGUGUGUUUAAGUGUUUGACCUCUAGCCAGAAAGGUGUUUUACAAACUUAGGGUUCAUUGUCUUCUUCAAACUGUCCUUCUCCAAUAUGCGACGUCUUUAGCCAGCCAUGGAGAUUCAGCAUGUCGUUUCGGAGGAAUCGUUUCGAGGAGACUAUGUGUCAUGCACGACGCUCUCAUUCAAUGAUAUUUAUCCCUGUCAGAGCCGGUGUUUCUCCACUUAUAAAUAGCUGGCCACUUUUCUUCCACCCUCGAAGUGAGGCUACUGAUUUUUUGGGAAGCUAGGAACAUCGGAGUUGAUGGGAGUCGAUAUGCUUCUCCUAGAUGCCAAGAUAUCUAUCUCGAACAACAGCACGUCCGCGGUUUGCUCAGGUGUGAAGCUAGAGAACAUAAGGAAGAGCUCCAAAGGCGUCAUUAUGCUCAAGUACGUUACCUGGAAGUAAAAAGAGGAGAGAAAGCAGGGUUAGUAAGGGGUUAACGGAGCGGGGAAGAUGACCCAGCUCAUGAUCAUCAAGAACCCUAUUCAGGUUACAUUAUCAAGGCCAACCCAAUAUAAAAGUCACUUUCUUGAGCCAAGAGUUCGAGGUUUCCAUGAGCAGGACUGUGAAGGAAGAGUUCAUGGGUGCUUUCAAGGAAGAGAUAAGAUAACCAAGAAGCUGGAGAAAAUUCAGAAGGCUAUUGAAGGGUCUGUUGAUGGUUUGGAUCUUAUGGGGAGGUUCUUAGACGAGUUUGAUAUGUUGCAGAGAAGAUCUCAAGCUGUGAACUUAGACAUGGUCUAUGUUAAAGUUAGCAAGCUGAUACCGGGGUUAGAGUUUGUACCAGAGGAUGAUGAUGGGCUUGUGGCUUCAUUUAGCGGUGGAUGGCAAAUGAUAAUGUCACUCAGAAAUAUUCAGCUUUGGGUAGGAACAGAAUAAACACACAUUGAAU
Molecule: long non-coding RNA, 972 nt
Organism: Brassica oleracea var. oleracea
Lineage: Eukaryota; Viridiplantae; Streptophyta; Magnoliopsida; Brassicales; Brassicaceae
Exons: 4
Source: RefSeq, a predicted model, not a curated record